CUUGGUCAUUUAGAGGAAGUAAAAGUCGUAACAAGGUCUCCGUUGGUGAACCAGCGGAGGGAUCAUUACCGAGUUUUUAUUACUCAAAACCCUGCAAACCUACCUUAAUAUGCUUCGGUGGCCGGCCCCGGGGGGGGCGCUAUAACGGUCACCGACAGUAUUCAAAAUCUCUGUCAUUGUAUUCUGAUUAAACAAAAAAAAAACAAUCAAAACCUUCAACAACGGAUCUCUUGGUUCUGGCACCGAUGAAGAACGCAGCGAAAUGCGAUACGUAAUGUGAAUUGCAGAAUUCCGUGAAUCAUCGAAUCUUUGAACGCACAUUGCACCCGGUGGUAUUCCGCCGGGUAUGCCUGUCUGAGCGUCAUUUCUACCCUCAAGCCCUGCUUGGUGUUGGCGGAUUGCCCACUGUGGCAACCGCUGAAAAUGAAUGGCGGUAGCACGCUUGUCCCCUGUAGAGUAAUCACCCUUACAGCGGUCUAGUGGACGAACCAGCCCCAACCCCAAAGAAAUAGCAAAGUUGACCUCAGAUCAGGUAGGAAUACCCGCUGAACUUAAGCAUAUCAAUAAGCGGAGGA
This 575-nucleotide ribosomal RNA is filed under the name uncultured Ascomycota. RNAcentral's name for it is "eukaryotic LSU rRNA". The stretch from base 211 to 364 matches the Rfam family "5.8S ribosomal RNA". The record is from RNAcentral. Lineage: Eukaryota; Fungi; Ascomycota.